RNAcentral lists this ribosomal RNA (460 nucleotides) under uncultured bacterium. Its description in RNAcentral is "partial 16S ribosomal RNA". It matches the Rfam family "Bacterial small subunit ribosomal RNA", at positions 338 to 795 of the family's 1533-position model. The record is from RNAcentral.
CCUACGGGUGGCUGCAGUGAGGAAUAUUGGUCAAUGGGCGGAAGCCUGAACCAGCCAAGUAGCGUGCAGGAUGACGGCCCUACGGGUUGUAAACCGCUUUUAUACGGGAAUAACGCGCCUUACGUGUAGGGCUUUGCAUGUACCGGAUGAAUAAGGACCGGCUAAUUCCGUGCCAGCAGCCGCGGUAAUACGGAAGGUCCGGGCGUUAUCCGGAUUUAUUGGGUUUAAAGGGUGCGUAGGCCGGAUGUCAAGCGUGCUGUGAAAUGUCCGGGCUCAACCCGUGCCUUGCAGCGCGACCUGGCGUGCGUGAGUCCGCGGAAAGUAGGCGGAAUGCGUCGUGUAGCGGUGAAAUGCUUAGAUAUGACGAAGAACCCCGAUUGCGAAGGCAGCUUGCUGCAGCGGAACUGACGCUGAUGCACGAAAGCGCGGGUAUCGAACAGGAUUAGAUACCCGGGUAGUC